GGAUAUGAGGGAGACCUGACUGUGAUAUCUUUCACCCCAUGGAUCGCCAAGGUUGAUUCAGCUGAUCGGCCUGACUUGGUGGGUGUCCCCUUCCUCCCUCACCGCUCCACGUGACUCCUCCUGAAGUUUCGUGCUCAGCAGAAGAGGACCUUCCCGGAAGGGAGACCAGUGUCCAAGUAGCCACGUUCCUCUGCUGGAACCUUCAGACUUGGGGUUCAGAGAGUUUGGUUCCUGGCUUCACAGGUGCUGGAGCAGUUCUCUGCUUCUUUUU
Erinaceus europaeus (western European hedgehog) is the source of this 271-nucleotide unclassified non-coding RNA. Its record names the gene 7SK. It matches the Rfam family "7SK RNA". Rfam says of the family: 7SK was discovered as an abundant small nuclear RNA in the mid-70s but a possible function has only recently been suggested. Two independent studies have found that 7SK RNA binds the CDK9/cyclin T complex (known as elongation factor P-TEFb). Lineage: Eukaryota; Metazoa; Chordata; Mammalia; Eulipotyphla; Erinaceidae. The record is from Ensembl.